UAGCAUAUCAAUAAGCGGAGGAAAAGAAACCAACAGGGAUUGCCCCAGUAACGGCGAGUGAAGCGGCAGCAGCUCAAAUUUGAAAUCUGGGGUCCCCGACCUCCGAGUUGUAAUUUGGAGAGGCAUCUUCGGGGGGGAGCGCCGGCCCAUGUUCCUUGGGACAGGACGUCACAGAGGGUGAGAAUCCCGUGCCUGGCCGGCUGCCUCCUCCCGGGUGAAGGGCCUUCGACGAGUCGAGUUGUUUGGGAAUGCAGCUCCAAGUGGGUGGUAAAUUUCAUCUAAAGCUAAAUACCGGCGGGAGACCGAUAGCGCACAAGUAGAGUGAUCGAAAGAUGAAAAGCACUUUGAAAAUAGAGUCAAAAAGUACGUGAAAUUGUUGAAAGGGAAGCGCUUGAGACCAGACUCAGGCCCGGGCAAACAUCGCGCCCCUCGGGGCCGUGCAAUUGCCUGGGCCUGGGCCAGCAUCAGUUGGCGUGGCGGGACAAAGGCGCGGGGAAUGUGGCUCCCCUCGAGGAGUGUUAUCAGGCCCGCGCUCAAUGCCGCCGACGUCGACUGAGGACCGCGCCUCGGCUAGGAUGCUGGCUUAAUGGCCUUCAGCGACCCGUCUUGAAACACGGACCAAGGAGUCUAACAUCUAUGCGAGUGUUUGGGCGACAAACCCUUGCGCGGAAUGAAAGUGAGCGGAGGUGGGAACCCCCCAGCGGGGCGCACCAUCGACCGAUCCUGAUGUCUUCGGAUGGAUUUGAGUAGGAGCAUAGCUGUUGGGACCCGAAAGAUGGUGAACUAUGCCUGAAUAGGGUGAAGCCAGAGGAAACUCUGGUGGAGGCUCGCAGCGGUUCUGACGUGCAAAUCGAUCGUCAAAUUUGGGUAUAGGGGCGAAAGACUAAUCGAACCAU
RNAcentral lists this ribosomal RNA (896 nucleotides) under Helvella guttata. RNAcentral's name for it is "eukaryotic LSU rRNA". It matches the Rfam family "Eukaryotic large subunit ribosomal RNA", at positions 36 to 943 of the family's 3401-position model. The record is from RNAcentral. Lineage: Eukaryota; Fungi; Ascomycota; Pezizomycetes; Pezizales; Helvellaceae.